Long non-coding RNA from Vespula pensylvanica (western yellowjacket), 1921 nucleotides. RefSeq lists it as uncharacterized. Lineage: Eukaryota; Metazoa; Arthropoda; Insecta; Hymenoptera; Vespidae. The record is from RefSeq and is a predicted model, not a curated record. The transcript is spliced from 3 exons.
AUAUAUAUAUAUAUCUAUGUACUAAAGUCAAAUUAUGUUUAUGUACAUAUUUACUUAUAUAUUUGUCAACAAAUCGAUAAAUUAUCUGUAUCUAUCUGAGAAUUAAUACGGAUAUAAAUCAAAAUAAAAUUAAGAAGAAAAUUAAAAGAUAAAUGAAAAUGAGGAAAGAAAUUUUAAUUAAAAAAGAAAGGGAACAUUAAGAAAAUAAGUGAACAGAUAUGUAUUGGGAGAGUGGAUUAAUUGAUAUCGACUUUAUAUUUUCGUAUAUUUGUGUGGGAUAGAUAAAUGGAAACUCGACUUUUGAUAAAUAUUUGCUUCUUCUGAAAAUCAAAAAGAGAAUUUAAAAAAAAAAUGAAACUAAAACUAUUCGACGAAAGUUGGACGAACUUAUUUUCAAUCGAGACGAAAUUCCAAGAAAGAAAAGACGAUAAGCAUACAAACCGAAGUACCUGAAAAUUGCCCGCACAUUUGGAAUCAAUAUUGGAAAUCGCCGGUGAUAUUCUUCAUGCUCUUGUAUAUAGUUCUCGAUGCGAUAUUACCACACACAUUGCUAAAAGUUGAUAUUCCUUAUAUACGCGUCGAGAAGAAUCGUGCACAGAAUUCAAGAAAUCAUCAAAGAAAAAUAUUAAUGGCUACUACGUGCAUCUAUUCCUGGCAAACAGCUGCGGCAGCGAGAAAGUUUCAAUGUUUAUUCGUCGGAGUAUAAAGAAGAACUAAUUCGGUAACCAUCCAAACCAAUCAUUUAUUAACUUUAUAUGUUGCUAACGAUGGCCAUUUCAAAAUUCAAGUCUAACAGAAAAUAAAUAUAAAUUAUCUGAUAUUUCAUCGGUGUUCCGUGGCGUGUAAUGUUUAGCGGAAUCUUUCAUUGCUUAAACAGUGGAUAAUUUAACUCGCCGUACAUCUAUAUCGUUUAAAUGAAUUUAAAAUUAUCAAAAGUAUUAAGUUUGAAGUUUUUACCUUUAAAAAGUGAGGACAACCGUCAAAGUUAUUCCAAUGUUUGUUUUUAUUGACAUUACACGCAGCGACGAAACUUAGAUACAACUAUCCCAAUAUGAAAAUCAUAAAUUAUUUAAAUUUUAGCUUAAAAUUAUUUUAUUUUAUUCCCGCGUUACGAUCUUCGUAAUGUUUAAACGAAUAUACUAUCGUUUAAAUCUUACGAUCAUGAAAAUAAUUCAUUUAUCGAUUCUAUUAUAUCUAAAGCAUUAACUUGAAAUAUUAUAAUUAUUACUAUAAUAAUAAUAAUAUUCAGUUUAUCAAAAAUCAAACAAAACCAUAUCAAUUCUUCGUUCUUUCGGUUAAAAGAUGAAAAGCACCGAAUGAUUUAUAUUUUGGUAUUUUUCCAUAUUUACCCUUUGUACUCGGUGUCCUUUCGAACGUUUAUUAGCAGCAAUACAGCGGCAUUUCGUCGCGCAAACGUGGCAUAUAGUAUAACAUUAUAUAGUUUCACUUUGGUAACCAAGGAAUAUAUUAUAUAGUGGUAUUUGAUUUAUAUGAAUUUACAUAGGAACAAAUUUUUUGCAAAAAAAAAUCGAAAUUUUAUUGCUUAUAAUUUUCUUUAUAAUCUUCUAAAGAGACAUCCGAGUGCAAUGGUUUAAAAAGAAUAGAAAAACACAAAUUAAAAUUAAGAGAAAAGGAACAUUCAAAAAAGCAUUAAAAAAAAGCAAACAAAUAUAUAUUGGGAAAGUAUACUGAAUGAUUAUAUUUGCGUGCAUACAGUUGAUAUAAACACGACUUUUGAUAAGUUUUUGCUUUUUUCGUAAUUCGUUAAAAAUUUCUUCAAAAAUUUAUCGUAAUUAAUCAGGUUCAGGAAAAGGUCAAAUCAGUAAUAAAUGAAAUUCAAUUCAUAACUUAUGUGAAAAUCUAAUUAGUUAAUAUUAUAUAGAAUCGUUCUAUUUCUUAAAUAUUUGUUAUUCAUCAACCC